UUGGUGGUAGUAGCAAAUACUCAAGUGAGAACCUUGAGGACUGAAGGUGGAGAAGGGUUCCAUGUGAACAGCAGUUGAACAUGGGUCAGUCGGUCCUAAGGGAUCGGAGAAAUCCGUUUCGAAGCGGGACUUUAUGUGUACGAGUCCCGCCUCAGACCGAAAGGGAAUGGGGUCAAUAUUCCCCAACCCGGACACGGAGAUCGGGCUUUCGGGCCCAAGUGCGGUGACGCAACCGAACUCGGUGACGUCGACGGAGGACCCGGGGAAGAGUUGUCUUUUCUUUGUAAGGGUUCGUGUCCCUGGAAUCGGCUCGUCCGGAGAUAGGGACGCUGUUCCCGUAAAAGCACCGCGGCUCUUGCGGUGUCCGGUCCGCCUCUGUCGGCCCUUGCAAAGCCGAGGGAGAUGGUGUGAUUUUCGUGCCGGACCGUACCCAUAUCCGCAGCAGGUCUCCAAGGU
RNAcentral lists this ribosomal RNA (456 nucleotides) under Tekella sp. CG205. Its description in RNAcentral is "eukaryotic LSU rRNA". It matches the Rfam family "Eukaryotic large subunit ribosomal RNA", at positions 1451 to 1873 of the family's 3401-position model. The record is from RNAcentral. Lineage: Eukaryota; Metazoa; Arthropoda; Arachnida; Araneae; Cyatholipidae.